RNAcentral lists this ribosomal RNA (253 nucleotides) under uncultured bacterium. RNAcentral describes it as "partial 16S ribosomal RNA". It matches the Rfam family "Bacterial small subunit ribosomal RNA", at positions 524 to 776 of the family's 1533-position model. The record is from RNAcentral.
UACGUAGGGACCGAGCGUUGUCCGGAAUCAUUGGGCGUAAAGAGCGUGUAGGCGGCCAAUUAAGUCCUGCGUGAAAUCUCGGGGCUCAACCCCGAGCGGUCGUGGGAAACGGGUUGGCUAGAGUGCGGGAGAGGAGAGUGGAAUUCCUGGUGUAGCGGUGAAAUGCGCAGAUAUCAGGAAGAACACCCGUGGCGAAGGCGGCUCUCUGGAACGCAACUGACGCUGAGACGCGAAAGCGUGGGGAGCAAACAGG